GAUGAAGAACGUAGCGAAAUGCGAUAAGUAAUGUGAAUUGCAGAAUUCAGUGAAUCAUCGAAUCUUUGAACGCACAUUGCGCCCCUUGGUAUUCCGAGGGGCAUGCCUGUUCGAGCGUCAUUAUAACCCCUCAAGCUCAGCUUGGUGUUGGGGCCUGCUGCACUGGCAGCCCUUAAAAUCAGUGGCGGCGCCAUCUGGCUCUAAGCGUAGUAAUUCUUCUCGCUAUGGAGUCCUGGUGGAUGCUUGCCAUCAACCCCCAAUUUUUCUAUGGUUGACCUCGGAUCAGGUAGGGAUACCCGCUGAACUUAAGCAUAACAAUAAGCGGAGGA
Molecule: unclassified non-coding RNA, 329 nt
Filed under: soil metagenome
Description: partial contains 5.8S ribosomal RNA, internal transcribed spacer 2, and large subunit ribosomal RNA
Rfam family: 5.8S ribosomal RNA (bases 1-120)
Source: RNAcentral